Molecule: ribosomal RNA, 254 nt
Filed under: uncultured bacterium
Lineage: Bacteria
Description: partial 16S ribosomal RNA
Rfam family: Bacterial small subunit ribosomal RNA
Source: RNAcentral
UACGGAGGGUGCGAGCGUUAUCCGGAAUCACUGGGUUUAAAGGGUGCGCAGGCGGCGGGAUAAGUCAGUUGUGAAAUCGCUGGGCUCAACCCAUGCAAUCGCGAUUGAUACUGUCCUGCUUGAAACAGGUUGAGGCAGGCGGAAUGUGGCAUGUAGCGGUGAAAUGCAUAGAUAUGCCAUAGAACACCGAUUGCGAAGGCAGCUUGCUGGGCCUGAUUUGACGCUGAGGCACGAAAGCGUGGGGAGCAAACAGG